CGGAGGGGCUAGCGUUGUUCGGAAUUACUGGGCGUAAAGCGCACGUAGGCGGAUUGGCAAGUUGGGGGUGGAAAUCCCAGGGCUCAACCCUGGAACUGCCUCCAAAACUUCCAGUCUUGAGGUCGAGAGAGGUGAGUGGAAUUCCGAGUGUAGAGGUGAAAUUCGUAGAUAUUCGGAGGAACACCAGUGGCGAAGGCGGCUCACUGGCUCGAUACUGACGCUGAGGUGCGAAAGCGUGGGGAGCAAACAGGAUU
This 254-nucleotide ribosomal RNA is filed under the name uncultured bacterium. RNAcentral's name for it is "partial 16S ribosomal RNA". It matches the Rfam family "Bacterial small subunit ribosomal RNA", at positions 527 to 779 of the family's 1533-position model. The record is from RNAcentral.